RNAcentral lists this long non-coding RNA (1601 nucleotides) under Xyrichtys novacula (pearly razorfish). The record is from RNAcentral. Lineage: Eukaryota; Metazoa; Chordata; Actinopteri; Labriformes; Labridae.
UGGGAAUCACCCCUGGAAUGUUUGAGCAUCACAGCUGAAGGUGUCAGCAGCAGUUGGCAGAUCAGGAACUGUGCGAACUGGGCAGCAUAGACCCAAAACAUGCGUGGUGCAACAGUGUGGAAACAGGUGUUUGUCAGUGAGAGACAGUAGAGGACAGGUCGUAAUGAUAUACAGUAUGAGAGAACUGAUCCCCAUAUUUGAAUUUGAUAUUUGAAUUAGUUCAUCAUAUCCUCAUCUUUGCUGUGUGGUUUCACUGUAUUGACAUGAGAGUGGUUCAAGCUCAAAGUUUUCUAAGUAAAGGGUUAGCAUUUGUUAGCUAUGGCGAGGUUUUAGGGCCACAUAAAAAUUAGUUUUUAGAUUUAAUCUCGUAAUAUUACUACUUAAUUUUUUUUUAAAAUACUUUUUAUACUACUUUUUUUUUUAAAUGUGGACCUAAUAUUCAAUAAAAUAUUGUAAAAACAAAUGAGCUGUCUGAUGGCAAAGUAAAGUGCUUCUGAUUAGAGCGUACGCCUAAAUCGAAACUUAAACUGAACUAUAAUUCAGGCAUAUAGGAUUAUUACAGAUUCUAAUGUAAGGCUUGUGCAUCAGAAGUUUGCACAUGUGCCUUUCUCCCUCAGACAGUGUUGAGGGAUUAUGAAGGGGCCCAUGUUGGAAAAACCAGAGGCCCUUAGAGUACCAGUCUGAUCUCUAAAUACAUACACAAGCACCCAGGGGUCAUGAACCAGGGGUCUCCUGGGACCAGUUGCUGCGUGGUCCCUCUCUACACACGAGAGGGACCACGUAGGAGGGAGGGGGUUUACCAUGUGAGCGAACCACUUGCUUUAGAUGUCAGAGGGUUAAUUUAUGAUCGCUGUUUGAUGUCACAGCAGCAGCUCUGACAUGUUACACCUCUAUGUGAAGGGAAAUUGCAAGUGUGAAGAACCUACUCAAUGUGUAAAUUAAAAGGCAACAAUCAGAGCUCCUUUUUUAAAAUCAUAUUUAGGUUUCCUUGGUCCCCACUGACCUCGAGGAGUUUCACAUCCAGGCCUCACAAAAGCAAAUGUGCUGCCCCUGUUAUACACUUCUUUUGGGUGUACCUUGGUGCGCCUUCUCCCAGCCUGUUGUGGCCAACAAGGGGUGACUCUAGAGAGGAGCACUGCAAAUUCAGCGACGAUAAUGAUGGAAGUACAUCAGGCCUACAGAGGGCGCCAACCUUGUCAAUAAAGAAAACAACUCCAAUCUGAAAUUUAGGCUUCAGGGGAGGUACAGAUUUUAGCAUCUCUCUCCUUCAGGAGGCAGACACCCUCCCUUAAAAAACACAUAGGCUAAAUUUACAUGAUUAUUUAUUCAGAGAGAGAUGAUCGUAAAGGGUGCCACAGGUUCAGGACAGCUCUUAGUCAUUUAGCUACAGGUUUGGGCUGCCUAAGGCUUGGAGCAGAUCAGAAGUAUGUUACUUUAGGCUUAAGGUUAGGUUUAAACCAAGCACUGCUAUAGACUUGAAGCUGGCUCUUGGUUAUGGUUGGUUUUACUGCUUUAAGCUUUGACUGAAUCAGGCUGCUGAAGACCUAAUCUAGGUCAGGCCUAGACAGCUGUUGUGCUAUAGACUUCAGGAUGACUAGACC